This 207-nucleotide long non-coding RNA is filed under the name Bos taurus (domestic cattle). RNAcentral describes it as "long non-coding RNA NONBTAT025673". The record is from RNAcentral. Lineage: Eukaryota; Metazoa; Chordata; Mammalia; Artiodactyla; Bovidae.
GAAUGUAGUUGACACAUUCCUCCUUCUGUUUUCUUUUUAUUCCAUUGACUCUUCCCUUUGUAACCUGAAAAUGUCUUUUUCUUGAUUUCUUUUCCUCUUUUCCUUACAAAGACUUUCACUCACCUCCAACUUGUCAAAAACUUCUCUAUGAUGACUUUCACUGGGCUAUUGUGGGUUUUUUUUUUUUGCAAUGUAACUUAACAAAUU